GCUCCCACGCCGGCCGCCGCCCCUCGACCUACCUCCAUCCCAGAGCGCCGCCCCUCACCACUCCCCUGCGAUCCUCCACCGAGGAAGGCCGCCCCUCACCAGUCCUCCUGCGAUACUCCAUCCGGGUGCGCCGUUCCUAGUCAACGCUCCCCUGCAACCCUGCUUCCCGGUGCGCCGCCCCUCGUCACCGCUUCCCUACGACCAACUACGUCUACUACCUUCGCACGAGGGCCUGCAACUACGGGCAGAGUUACUGCUGCAACCACCCUCGCGAUUUCUCUAUUUGACUUAAUUAUUGUUGGGGAUUGCUAGUUACGACUUGCCAGGCCCUGAUAAUGACGGACAAGUUGAAUUAUAGAUGGUUUGUGCGGAGGGGAGCUUCUAGCUAGAGCCUCUUGUUGUGAUUCAAUUAAUUUCAGUUAUGGCUUAUAGGACCCUAUCACGAGCCCAUGGAAGUAAAAUUUGAUUGUGCAAUCGUUGGUUGCUUGAUUAUGUGGUUGACUGAUUGUAUAAUAAGGCUGCUUCUGUUAGUCCCGUGGUUGAUGAUGACAAUUCAAAGUUCCACUUUUUGCUUAUGGUGCCACUUGCUUAUGUUGUAGGCCUGAUCAGUCACUCCGUCAUAUGGUCAUGUUUCUUUUCGAGACUUCAGAGAAAGUUACAAAUCAAAUUUCUCUACUAAGUAAUAAUUAUCUCCACUCGGUGCAGAGAAAGGCAAUCGCAGUCAAGCACUGAAUAUGUUGCAAUGGACAUGACCUCAAAACCUUCCCCCUCUUUUAUUUGGGGCACAGUUCAUUAACUUUUUUAUAUAUUUCAUUCGCUUAAAAGACCAUUUAGAUCUCUAUGCUCUCUGCUACUACAAACUGAGGAGCAGGUUGACAGCUUUACGCAGCUUGGUCGACUAGGCUGCCGCGACGCUGUGGGAGAAGGAUAUCGGUGUAGAGCAUGGCAAAGCUGAGUACUUGUUGGAUCUGAGGGCUUCUGAUCCACAGUUCUCCGCAUUAUCAUCCAUCAACAUCUGGUGAAAUUAGCACUCAGCUGCAUAAGGCUUUCUCCCCACUACAGUUAGAGUUCAAGAUCGAAAGGAAGGUAGUGCAUGUCGAGAUGGCACUUGUGAAAACUGAAGAUUAGGUACAGAGUCGCAAAAACUGCAACUCUUGGUAAUGCAGAUUUGGUUGUGCAUGUCAACCUUUAUCCAAAAGAUAAAUGGACGAUUCUAUGGGUGUGUGUGGCAAGUAUACUACAAUGAUGAUGAUGUUCCUGUUCAUGAUGAUGAAGACGGAUGGUUUCUGUUUUAGUUAAGCUGUAGGGAUCAUGUUACUCUUGGAUGAUGUUCAUCGAUUCUGUUUUAGUUAAG
Long non-coding RNA from Triticum aestivum (bread wheat), 1354 nucleotides. RefSeq lists it as uncharacterized. Lineage: Eukaryota; Viridiplantae; Streptophyta; Magnoliopsida; Poales; Poaceae. The transcript has 3 exons. The record is from RefSeq and is a predicted model, not a curated record.